GAUGAACGCUGGCGGCGUGCCUAAUACAUGCAAGUCGAGCGAACGGACGAGAAGCUUGCUGCUCUGAUGUUAGCGGCGGACGGGUGAGUAACACGUGGAUAACCUACCUAUAAGACUGGGAUAACUUCGGGAAACCGGAGCUAAUACCGGAUAAUAUUUUGAACCGCAUGGUUCAAAAGUGAAAGACGGUCUUGCUGUCACUUAUAGAUGGAUCCGCGCUGCAUUAGCUAGUUGGUAAGGUAACGGCUUACCAAGGCAACGAUGCAUAGCCGACCUGAGAGGGUGAUCGGCCACACUGGAACUGAGACACGGUCCAGACUCCUACGGGAGGCAGCAGUAGGGAAUCUUCCGCAAUGGGCGAAAGCCUGACGGAGCAACGCCGAGUGAGUGAUGAAGGUCUUCGGAUCGUAAUACUCUGUUAUUAGGGAAGAACAUAUGUGUAAGUAACUGUGCACAUCUUGACGGUACCUAAUCAGAAAGCCACGGCUAACUACGUG
This 497-nucleotide ribosomal RNA is filed under the name uncultured bacterium. RNAcentral's name for it is "partial 16S ribosomal RNA". It matches the Rfam family "Bacterial small subunit ribosomal RNA", at positions 28 to 507 of the family's 1533-position model. The record is from RNAcentral.